UGGUCUUCUGGUGUAAGUGUA
This 21-nucleotide non-coding RNA is filed under the name Arabidopsis thaliana (thale cress). The record is from RNAcentral. Lineage: Eukaryota; Viridiplantae; Streptophyta; Magnoliopsida; Brassicales; Brassicaceae.